UACGGGGGGGGCAAGCGUUGUUCGGAAUUACUGGGCGUAAAGGGCCCGUAGGCGGCCAACUAAGUCGGAUGUGAAAUCCCCAGGCUUAACCUGGGAACUGCAUCCGAUACUGGAUGGCUUGAAUUCGGGAGAGGGAUGCAGAAUUCCAGGUGUAGCGGUGAAAUGCGUAGAUAUCGAGAGGAACACCUGCGGCGAAGGCGGGUUGCUGGGCUGACACUGACGCUGACAGCGCGAAAGCUAGGGGAGCGAACGGG
This 254-nucleotide ribosomal RNA is filed under the name uncultured bacterium. RNAcentral describes it as "partial 16S ribosomal RNA". It matches the Rfam family "Bacterial small subunit ribosomal RNA", at positions 524 to 776 of the family's 1533-position model. The record is from RNAcentral.